GCAGCAUCGCUGACUCAGAGGCAGGAAGUGCUAUUCUAGCUACCUGUUCCUACUCACUCUGUAUUUACAGACCUCAAGUAAAAUCACAACCUGCUCCGCACCCACUUCACCCCACCCUCAUAGCCAAAGCCAGCUACAGAUUGGCACGGAGUUGAACUUGUUGUCACGCUCCCUCCUCAUGGUUUACAUUUGCUCCGAGAUGUUCUGGGUAUUUCCUAUCUCAGUUUCUGCUUUCCACUGUGGGUUGCCUCCCCAUGGAACAAGUUAUUAUUACUCCAGUCUCUACCAACAACGCAAACAAAGCAGGUACAAGCUGACGCAACUCUGGAAAGUGCUGUACCAAACACUGAUGCAACCCCCCGGAGAGAUGCGAUUACUCCCCCGGAGUGCGUGGGAUGAGGAUGCCCUGCUUGCUCUCAUCUUGACUCCUGCUUUCGCCUUUGCCUGCCAGCACAAAACCUGGCACAGCUCUGUAACUCACGCCUUCCAGUCUGCGGCUUGGAAGAGCUCUGGUUGUGCCCCGUCACCAAAUGUUCCCAGGGAUGUUUUGUUUGGCUCCAGCAAGAAGCAAAUCUGACCCAAAGCUAGACCUGGAGCUGAAGACCCUACUUUGCCAUAAAACCAGCUUUUCAAGUUUGGAUUCAGAUCCUCAGCCUACAGGCAGACUUGUCCCAGCUGCACUGUCAUCCUGGCACCUGGUGCAACACAUUGCUACUCUUGCAGAAUAGCCAAAACAGUCAGGCAGGAGGAAAAAGGCGAAGGUGGAUCUCAGAAUUUGAAGGCUUGGAUUCAUUUAAGAGACAUAAAUUAAAUAUUGCAGCCAUAAGCAAAGCACAAGCAAAAAGAGAGUGCAUCUGGACCUCUGUGAAUCCCAUGUAAAACGCAACCCUUAACACAACUUGGCAAUACCUCUGCAGCUGAAUUAAGGUAUUUUUCUGGUUUUCCCACAGCAGGGAAUGCAGGAGGUUCUGAACUCAGCCAGCAAGAUUCUCUGGUCAUUUUAUGCACGCACCCUUACUUUACUACCUUGUGGACCCCUGAAAAAGCCUCUCUCCCAUGUUUGAGCAGAAAGGAAACCAAGUACAAGUUUCUGAAAACAAACAGGCCCUUUAAAUUAAGGUCUACAAAAUUAUUAGCCUUGUAUGAAAGCCAAUAUCUUGCAUAGUUACACCUAUGUGUAACUAUGUAAUAUAUUGGCUAGUCACCCAAUCUGUGUCUGGGAAGGAUUAACCCUGACCACAGCCCAGCCCAGCCAGGACAAGGACAGCCAAUCUAGCUUUUGGGGAGCUCUGCUGGAAAAGCAACUUUGAGCAUCACUGAACUGCAAGCCAUGCCAGGAGGUGAAACCUUUUUGGCACACAAACUGUGGGAGACCUUUGGUGUCUGGGCAGGAGUAUAAAGACCUUUACUGGUCCUGUUCCCACAGCAGGGGUCACACCACAGGUGAAUCUCAUCACCAGUCCAACCUAAACUCCACUCAUGGCAGCAAUCACAAAUGUGUUUUGAGACUCAAACAGAAAGUAAAAGAACAAAGCAUUGCUUAUAAAUUAUCUGAUGCAGCAGUUCCAGCCUGCCAGCUGUAAGGUAAGGAAGUAUUACCCUGCCCAUCGGUUAAGCCCAGGAAGGGGAUGCUCCUUUUAAAACUCAUCACCCUAGAACAUCUCCUCCUCCACCAUCAACUGUUCUCCCAGGAUUGGUUUAGAAAAACCAAGUCUACCACUCCCCUUCCAGCUUGCCCAUCUCUAUAUUUUGGUCGGUGUGGGAAAACAAGGCUGUCAGACCUGCACCUCCUCUCCUUCCCUCCCUUCUGGAUAGAGUGCAGGUUUGGUUUUCAAGUCUGCUUCUCUUGGACUAACGUGCUCUGCCAAGUUGCUGUCAGGGACAAAAUCAAGAGUACUGAAAUGGCAGGAAAAAGCUGAUCCCACACGAUACAUGGGGGAAAGGCAACACACAUCAAGGCCUCUGGAAAACAGACUCCUUUCUGGCUUUCCAGCUAUGUGCACAUUUAUGAGGUUUGAAUAAAAUUCAGCUGAAGCAUGCAGGCCAAUGACUGCUUGCCCAAAAUGAACUCAAUUGCUGGACUUUUGUCCAGCAAC
Molecule: long non-coding RNA, 2096 nt
Organism: Parus major (Great Tit)
Lineage: Eukaryota; Metazoa; Chordata; Aves; Passeriformes; Paridae
Exons: 2
Source: RefSeq, a predicted model, not a curated record